AACGAACGCUGGCGGCGUGCCUAACACAUGCAAGUCGAGGGAGAAAAGGGGCUUCGGCUCCCGAGUAAACCGGCGCACGGGUGAGUAACACGUAGGUAACGUACCUUGGAGUCCGGGAUAACCAGUCGAAAGAUUGGCUAAUACCGGAUACGACUGCAGCAGCUCCGGCUGCAGCAGUGAAAGAUGGCCUCUGUUUACAAGCUAUCACUCCUGGAUCGGCCUGCGCACCAUUAGCUAGUUGGUGAGGUAAUGGCUCACCAAGGCUGAGAUGGUUAGCUGGUCUGAGAGGAUGGCCAGCCACACUGGGACUGAGACACGGCCCAGACUCCUACGGGAGGCAGCAGUGGGAAUAUUGCGCAAUGGGCGAAAGCCUGACGCAGCGACGCC
This 387-nucleotide ribosomal RNA is filed under the name uncultured bacterium. RNAcentral's name for it is "bacterial SSU rRNA". It matches the Rfam family "Bacterial small subunit ribosomal RNA", at positions 29 to 398 of the family's 1533-position model. The record is from RNAcentral.